Molecule: ribosomal RNA, 256 nt
Filed under: uncultured bacterium
Lineage: Bacteria
Description: partial 16S ribosomal RNA
Rfam family: Bacterial small subunit ribosomal RNA
Source: RNAcentral
UACGAAGGGGGCUAGCGUUGCUCGGAAUCACUGGGCGUAAAGGGUGCGUAGGCGGGUCUUUAAGUCAGGGGUGAAAUCCUGGAGCUCAACUCCAGAACUGCCUUUGAUACUGAAGAUCUUGAGUUCGGGAGAGGUGAGUGGAACUGCGAGUGUAGAGGUGAAAUUCGUAGAUAUUCGCAAGAACACCAGUGGCGAAGGCGGCUCACUGGCCCGACAUUGACGCUGAGGCGCGAAAGCCAGGGGAGCAAAGCGGGAU